CUCGCGGCCUAUCAGCUUGUUGGUGAGGUAAUGGCUCACCAAGGCGUCGACGGGUAGCCGGCCUGAGAGGGUGACCGGCCACACUGGGACUGAGACACGGCCCAGACUCCUACGGGAGGCAGCAGUGGGGAAUAUUGCACAAUGGGCGCAAGCCUGAUGCAGCAACGCCGCGUGAGGGAUGACGGCCUUCGGGUUGUAAACCUCUUUUAGCAGGGAAGAAGCGAGAGUGACGGUACCUGCAGAAAAAGCACCGGCUAACUACGUGCCAGCAGCCGCGGUAAUACGUAGGGUGCAAGCGUUAUCCGGAAUUAUUGGGCGUAAAGAGCUCGUAGGCGGUUUGUCGCGUCUGCUGUGAAAUUCCGAGGCUCAACCUCGGGCUUGCAGUGGGUACGGGCAGACUAGAGUGCGGUAGGGGAGAUUGGAAUUCCUGGUGUAGCGGUGGAAUGCGCAGAUAUCAGGAGGAACACCGAUGGCGAAGGCAGAUCUCUGGGCCGUAACUGACGCUGAGGAGCGAAAGGGUGGGGAGCAAACAGGCUUAGAUACCCUGGUAGUCCACCCCGUAAACGUUGGGAACUAGUUGUGGGGUCCUUUCCACGGAUUCCGUGACGCAGCUAACGC
RNAcentral lists this ribosomal RNA (618 nucleotides) under bacterium 30 OU-2010. Its description in RNAcentral is "bacterial SSU rRNA". It matches the Rfam family "Bacterial small subunit ribosomal RNA", at positions 230 to 858 of the family's 1533-position model. The record is from RNAcentral.